This is a long non-coding RNA of Ornithodoros turicata, 148 nucleotides long. RefSeq lists it as uncharacterized. Lineage: Eukaryota; Metazoa; Arthropoda; Arachnida; Ixodida; Argasidae. The transcript has 3 exons. The record is from RefSeq and is a predicted model, not a curated record.
GUUUUGUUGGUUUUUACCUUAAAGUUAGGUUUCUUAUGAAAGUUGUCUUUCUCAGUUUUCUCGAGUUUUGAAGAUGAUGAUGAUAGUGUAUUCACGUCGAGCCCUGUGUUUUACUUCGAAGACGCGCCUGAGUCGCCACCACCAAGCU